RNAcentral lists this small RNA (433 nucleotides) under Pan troglodytes (chimpanzee). RNAcentral's name for it is "retained intron". The record is from RNAcentral. Lineage: Eukaryota; Metazoa; Chordata; Mammalia; Primates; Hominidae.
GUUUUCCUCCAAGGAGCCUCGGACGUUGUCACGGGUUUGGGGUCGGGGACAGAGCGGUGACCAUGGCCAGGCUGGCGUUGUCUCCUGUGCCCAGCCACUGGAUGGUGGCGUUGCUGCUGCUGCUCUCAGGUACAGCACCCACGACGAGGCCUGUGGGGUUUGCUCUCAUCUCCAGCUGUCUGGGCCCUGCGGCUCUGCCUCCUGCUUGCUCCACCCUCCUCCUCUGUCUCUCACUCUUUACCGCCUGUCUCCCUCUCAUGGCCCUGGGUCCUGGGUCUGUGGGUGUCAGCUGCACGUGGUGAUGGGCUCAGGAGCCUGUGGCCCCAGUUCCUCUCCUGCCUGGAGAGCAUCAGGCUGAGCUGGGCAUGAGGAGCAAACCAGAGUUAGCAACCAGGACCGUGGAAGAACUAGGCUCAGGAGGAAGAGAGGCUGA